This 509-nucleotide ribosomal RNA is filed under the name uncultured bacterium. RNAcentral's name for it is "bacterial SSU rRNA". It matches the Rfam family "Bacterial small subunit ribosomal RNA", at positions 355 to 879 of the family's 1533-position model. The record is from RNAcentral.
CAACGAGUAUUCCGCAAUGGACGCAAGUCUGACGGAGCGACGCCGCGUGUGGGAGGAAGUCCCUCGGGAUGUAAACCACUGUCAGGGGUGAGGAAUUCAUUGACCAGCCCCAGAGGAAGCACCGGCUAACUCCGUGCCAGCAGCCGCGGUAAUACGGAGGGUGCAAGCGUUGUUCGGAUUUACUGGGCUUAAAGGGUGUGUAGGCGGGUCGUCAAGUGUCUGGUGAAAGCCCCGGGCUCAACCCGGGAACGGCUGGGCAUACUGACGGUCUUGAGGCAGGUAGAGGUCACUGGAACAACUGGUGGAGCGGUGAAAUGCGUAGAUAUCAGUUGGAACGCCGGAGGCGAAAGCGGGUGACUGGGCCUGUCCUGACGCUGAAACACGAAAGCGUGGGGAGCAAACGGGAUUAGAUACCCCGGUAGUCCACGCCGUAAACGAUGCGCACUGGGUAUGAUGGGUUUUGACGCCCGUCGUGCCGUAGCAAAAGUGCUAAGUGCGCCGCCUGGGGA